This is a long non-coding RNA of Papaver somniferum (opium poppy), 4908 nucleotides long. RefSeq lists it as uncharacterized. Lineage: Eukaryota; Viridiplantae; Streptophyta; Magnoliopsida; Ranunculales; Papaveraceae. The record is from RefSeq and is a predicted model, not a curated record. The transcript has 20 exons.
UUUUACAAAGAGGAAUACAGGUUACAACAACACGUGGAUAUUUAUUCUUAGAUGUUUGGUAGCCAAAAUCAUGGAUAUCUCCGUCGUUUCCCAAAUUCUUAGAAUUCCUUCCUCUCUUAUCUCUUCUCCGUCCAAAUUUUACUAAGAAACUUUUAGCCCUAAAAUUCCAAACCAUCUGUAUACAUACACAGACAGAGAGCUCAAUUUCUUUUUUGCUGAAUCAAAAUGUUGUUGUACCUAAUCUCUUCAUUUACAUUAUCUUUCUCAUUUCCAUCAUUUUCUUCUCAAAGUUCCCCUAACCCUAACAUUUCCCCAACAUUUUCAUCUUCGUUUUUCAAAUUCGCCAAAAAAACUCAAGUAAAUUAGGCUUUAAACGAAUCUACUUUUCACUGAUUCGUCAUUAAUUCAUCAUUCUAUAAUCUCCAAUUAUUUCGUAUCCAUGGAAACUUUUUUGCAACUUAGAAUUGAAGUCCUUGUUUCAGUGAUUGAUUUCAUUUUGUUUCUUCUCGCACAGAAAAUUAUCAUUUUGUUGGAGUUUGGAUAUGUUUGCUCUAACUACUUAUUUGUCAGGUUGAAGAAUCUAAGUAAAUGAAGCCGAAACAAUCCAGAGAAUGGAGCUUUUAAUUCUAUCAACACUUGAAUGGAAGAUGAAUCCAGCAACUCUUAUUUCAUUGCUUGAUCACAUUAUUAGAAGAUUUGGAUUCCAAGUUUUUUCAUUACCUUCCAUCAGUUUUAGUUGCGGCAGUAAUGCUAAAUGUUAUUGAUGAGGUUGAAACUGAAAACCCAAUGGAAUAUCAACACCAACACAUGACUGCUCUUAAACUCACAAAGGAGGAUGUAAAUGAGUGUUAUCAGUUCCUAAUGAAGUGGGCAUUUAGCUGCAAUUUCAAUUAAACGAAAGUAUGCUUUUAGUAGUUUUACUUAUUGUUAGUAUCUAUGUUACUGAGGAGGGAGCUGAUGAGUGUCAAGAUUUGGCAGUUUCAGGAAGAGAGAACUGUUAGAUCAGGGGCUUUUUCUGCCGGUAGGGUGUGAAUGUUGGCAAGUCACUUGAGAACCUCAACAAUUGGCAAGAGUCUUUACUUCAGGUGAUGAAAAGAACGGUCAUUUGAGAAAACUGAAGAAAGUUGCUGAGAACAACCUUUGUGCUGCCAUUGUAGAAUGCGAUGGAGUUUUCCACGUUGCGAGUCCAGUUCCUGGCGAUCGCGUAGCCAAUCCUGAGGCCACAACCCUGUAACCGCAAUUGAAGAGACCGAUUUUGGAAGAUCCACAAAGAAUAGUGCGGCUGCACCAUUGAUUCAGCUGUUUUGGCUGUGAAUCAUUGUGUGAAAAAUGAGAGAUGAAUCUUCUGGUAGUUGAAUUUGAAUCCGAGAACAACAAGAAAUGGUGGAUGAAUUAUGUAAAAGACGGUUUAUUUCAAGGGUUCCGUUGAAGCAGAUAAGGCAGAAAAGAAGAAUCAUCAAUGGGUUAUGUAAAUGGUUAUUAAUCUGUGUAGGGGUACGGCGAAUUGAAGAAUUAGGUCAUCAAUUGGAAGAACCGAAGAUGAAUUAGGGGUUUCUGCUGCUGUAGCUAAGAACAGAUAUCUUAGGGUUUGAAUUGGUUUUCUGGCUUCAUGUGAAAUCUCAGAAGACUAAGUUGAGAUUUGGGUUUUGUAGUGGUUGAUAAUGGAAGAGAUGAUGCCAAAACAUGGUGGUGCUGUUCUGGUAAAGAUGUAGGAUGGAAUUGCAGUUGGUUGAGGUUCUGAUUGUACUCGAAUUGGUGAAGCUGCAAAGGAAGAUUACAGGGAAAGAUGGAAUGAAUCUGGAAGAGGUUCGCCAAUAAAUAUUCCUGUGCUUUUCAGGAUCUGAAAUUGAGAUUACAAAAUGGAAAGAGUAUAAGAUUUUGUUAUCAGGCACAAAGAAGAAAAGGGAUUUACUCAGGAUCCCCUUUGGGUUUUUCAGUUAAGCCUUCCGUCCCUUCACAGUCAAGAACCGAGCCAUUCACCAGUGUGUUCACCACUAUCACCAGGGCCUGCUCUUCCUGCUAAUGCAUACCUUCAAGCUUCAGGUUCUUUGGCGAGGAAGCAAGGGCAAUAUUUCCACCAGUCGUUCAAGCCAGUGAGUUUGUCACCUCCACCUCCUAAUCAAGAGGCCUUCUGUUGGUGCAAGAUUUCUCAACAUCAUGAUGGGGCAUCAACUUGAAUGGAGGCAUUCCAGGUGGAUUUAAAUUCUGCAGGUUUUCGCUGGAAAAGUGUGGAAUAUUCCCAGCAUCAUCUGGAUUUAACUUGUCUGCAACAAGAUUCAUAUAUAAAUCAGAGCCAUGUGCAAGGAUAAAUGGAACAAAAGCAUGUGAAAAACAAAGUAAGAUUCGUACCUCUACCAAGAACUUUGCAAAAGAUACACUAUCAGCUUCAAGCGCAUCCAGCCUCAUAUUUUGGUGCAGCGCCAAUACAGUGACGUCAUUCCAAAGUACUGAUCUCCUCAGACAUGCUGCAACCACUUCUUCGCGACAUCCACCGGCUACAACAGGCAAUGUCUGCCUAAAGUCUCCUCCUAGAACAACGCAUUUUAGACUCUGGAUCUUGUUUGUCAACCCCAGAAACACUGUUUUCGGCAAUUUCAAAGGGAAUCUUGAACGUCGAGUGCGCUGUAUGACCUCCUACCAGCAGUAGUGAAGCAAUGCCAGACGAAGCAGCAGUUAAAACUAUGUUCCCAUCCCUGCGGCAGCUAUUUGCUAAUGUGUUAUACGGAAAUGUUUUACCGCUUCCCGCACUGCCAUUUAGAAAAAACAGUUUAACCUCACCAUCUCUUACCGAAUUAAACACGGCGUUGUACGCUGAUGUCUGUGCAGGAUUCAACUUCCUGAUGCUCUCUUCGACCUCAGCAUCACUCACUGCAAGUUGUAGACACCGAUACUCCCACAUAUACUUGUCACCAACAGCAUCACUCCAUGUUAGUUUUGAUCUUGGCAUGUCCUCAAAAUCUUCGAGCGACUUGCCAGAUUCACGCAAUUGUUCAUCCAAAAGAUAAGGAUUGUAUGGAACCACAUUUGUGUUGUUCGCUUUGAAUGCAGUUCGUACCAAUACCUCCUUCCCAUUAUCGCGGUGACGAUAUAUUGGAUAUCCGCCUUCGUCCAUACUUGUACACUCGGACCAUCCAGGAAUAUAAGAGCAUGCAUAUGAGGCCAACGCGGAUUCGGGGUCAUUGUUAAGAAGAUAUCUGGAUGAUGAUUAAACCGGGUAAUGACCAUUGAAUCUUGAUAAAUCUCAUACAUAUGCCUAGGACCACCUCGAUGGUAAUACAUAUGGCUUACCCAAGUCUUCGGGAGUUAGCCCGGAUUCCGCCGAGGCCUUUAUAUGUUCAUACGAAUCUGCUUGCAGCUUAUCCUGGUUUAUCUUAAGACAAUACAGACGGUUCUGUUCUGUUGAUGCCCAAGCGUCCACCAGGGUCCAGCUGCUUCAUAUCAGGAUGCCAACCCAUCUCGCCGUAUGGAAACAGUAAAACAUAAUGCAGGGGAAAGUAUGCAGGGUGACACUCUGAAAUACGUUUGAAUCCAUUUCUCCCCUUGCGGUGAAGUAUUAUAUCUCUGAAGUCAGGCUUCUGAGAACCAUCUCCGGGUAAUAUUACAGAGAUUUCAUCGGCCGUUGGUAGGUUAUAACGCCUUUCAUCUGUAGAUUGCUCGUAGUACAUGAUGACUUUGACACUAUUGUCUGUGGAGUCAGCAUUGCUCAGAAGUUCUCGUGCCUGGUAAUAUUUAUCGCAAAAAACAUUAUGUUCUGAGAUAAUUUUCUGGACCUUUUUAAGAACUUCUUUAUCCAGCUUGGGAUUCCGUGUUGCACGAACAGCCAAUGCCUGAUCUGGGUCAUAGAAAUACAGCUGAUGAUACAUUGGGUCUUUACCCUCGUCUGGUAGUAAAGUUCCGGAAUUAUGUCGAAGUUCACCAUGAAUUGCAAAACCUUUUGGGCCCUUCCCCUUCAGGACCCUCUUAUCCGGUUUACAACCGAGACUGGUAUAGGCGUUUGAAGCAUUGUACUCCCGCAUGUGAUCUCUGUAAAACCUCGACUCGGCAUCGUCUCCUUCAAGUAAAUCCAUUAGUUCUUUUGGAGGCUCCAGCAGCGCAGGGAGUAUUACUUUUCCUUUGCGGAAACAUCUUGAAAAUUUUGGAUUCUUCUUGGAUGAGUCGGUUGUCCUCUCAUCAAUCCAAUGCAGUGCUCCACAUGAAGAACAUUCUAUAUCCAUUUCACCAAGGUGAUCUAUUAGCUGCUGAGAAAACUGAAGAACAUUCAACUCUUUAAGGUAGAGUUGCUUGAUUACAACAUCCUAUGUGCUGCCAUUGUAGAAUGCAAUGGAGUUUUCCACGUUGCCAGUCCAGUUCCUGCCUAUUGCAUAGCCAAUCAUGAGGUUAAGAUCGUCGUGCUCUUGGGAACCUACUUGCUGGGCAACGCUUUGAUUCUGAAUAAAAGACCAUCAAACAAAUUGGCUUGUGAGAAGAAAAUUUUGAUGCUGAUGUAAAUUAAAGUUAGGGUUUAUAAAUUAAAGUUAGGGGUUUUACCGAGUAUGCGUCUCUCUGUUGUUCCUGCCUUUUUUUCUCCCAUCGUUUCAGCUGGCCCAAGGACCUUUUAUUACAAAGGUCAACAUCAACGGCAUCUAUAUGUUGUUCUGCAUCUGUAUGUUGUUCUGGAUUCUGGCUACUCUGAAUAAGUUGUUCCUGUUUUUUUUUCCCGCAUCGUUUCCGUUGGCCUAAGGAUGCUUUACUGCUAACAUUGAGAUAAGCACCUUUUGGUGCAUACUUGCUGCAGGAACUGAUUUAAAACUGAUGGAACUGUUUUUAUUGUAAAACUGGGAGGUGCUUCGUAUAAAUCAAGAACUGAUAGAAUUGUUUUUAUGGUAAAACUGUGAGGUGAUAUAUAUGGUAAAUCUCGUUUUGUGGGAA